Molecule: long non-coding RNA, 579 nt
Organism: Mercurialis annua (annual mercury)
Lineage: Eukaryota; Viridiplantae; Streptophyta; Magnoliopsida; Malpighiales; Euphorbiaceae
Exons: 3
Source: RefSeq, a predicted model, not a curated record
UCAAAAUCUGAGAUCAAAAGGAAAUGAGAAACCCUUCUUCUUCACAUCACCGAAACCUCCAUCACCCUCAACAUUCAUCUUGCGCACCCACCACGGCGGAAGCCAUAUCUCGACAAUCCGACCACCAAAUUCAGCGAUUCAAACUCGGAUACGAAGCUAACACACCAAGGAACAAGACUCGGCGAGGCGACUACCAAUAGGACGCGGAACGUAAAGAACGCGACAUCGCUUUGCUAUGACCGUAGUUUUGGAUAGAAAACAUGUUAUGUUUCAGGUGUAUAGUAUCAGAUGUAACGGACUUCUAUCCUUGUUCCAGAAGUCCGCGAGUACAGAAAGAAGGAACCAAUCAGUAGUGCUGCAGUAGUCGAGUCCUAGAGUGUAAUUAUGUUUUGUCAAACGGUUUUAAAUAUUUUGUUUAUACUCUGAUAUGUAUAAAGGCUUUAGACUGCGCUUUUAAACCGUUUGCAUAUAUGUGAGAAACAGGGCAUUGCUUGAUAUGAGAUAUCGCUUUGUAAGACCCUGAUUUCUAAAGAUCGUCUUGUAUCGUUUAAAAGAAGUUUUAUAAAAACGUUUUGUGAA